RNAcentral lists this ribosomal RNA (448 nucleotides) under uncultured bacterium. RNAcentral describes it as "bacterial SSU rRNA". It matches the Rfam family "Bacterial small subunit ribosomal RNA", at positions 329 to 792 of the family's 1533-position model. The record is from RNAcentral.
UCCCAGACUCCUACGGGAGGCAGCAGUCGGGAAUAUUGCGCAGUGGAGGAAACUCUGACGCAGUGACGCCGCGUAUAGGAAGAAGGUUUUCGGAUUGUAAACUAUUGUCGUUAGGGAAGAUAAAAGACUGUACCUAAGGAGGAAGCCCCGGCUAACUAUGUGCCAGCAGCCGCGGUAAUACGUAGGGGGCAAGCGUUAUCCGGAUUCACUGGGUGUAAAGGGAGCGUAGACGGCCAUGCAAGCCUGGAGUGAAAGCCCGGGGCCCAACCCCGGGACUGCUCUGGGAACUGUGCGGCUGGAGUGCGGGAGGGGCAGGCGGAAUUCCUGGUGUAGCGGUGAAAUGCGUAGAUAUCAGGAGGAACACCGGCGGCGAAGGCGGCCUGCUGGACCGCGACUGACGUUGAGGCUCGAAAGCGUGGGGAGCAAACAGGAUUAGAUACCCGAGUUA